CAUUUCUUGGGUGGUGGCGUGUCGCCCUUUUGCGGCAGAGGCUGAUCGAGACCCGGUUCGACUGGGGUAGGAAUGGC
RNAcentral lists this transfer RNA (77 nucleotides) under Paraburkholderia aspalathi. RNAcentral describes it as "tRNA-Arg". Lineage: Bacteria; Pseudomonadati; Pseudomonadota; Betaproteobacteria; Burkholderiales; Burkholderiaceae. The record is from RNAcentral.